Molecule: long non-coding RNA, 1388 nt
Organism: Thunnus maccoyii (southern bluefin tuna)
Lineage: Eukaryota; Metazoa; Chordata; Actinopteri; Scombriformes; Scombridae
Exons: 3
Source: RefSeq, a predicted model, not a curated record
ACAGCGGGCGCAGCGAGCGCAGGUCGGAUGGUAGUGUUUCCCUCCCGCCUGAGGAGAGGAGAGGAGAGGAGAGGAGAGGAGAGGUGUGAGGGAACAUAAAUUACCAUCAUAAACAGUUUCACAGAGUAGGGGCUAAUCUACAAUUUGGGGGCCCAUCUUGAGCAGGUCAUUGUCUCCAUAUGUUUUCUACCGUAUAUCACCUGACCCCAAAUGGCCUCAUAAUGUAUUGAGACAUCAUAGCAUAGCCUGUAGUUGUUUCAUCAGCAUGCAGCAGUGACAUGAUAGCCACCACCCAUUCUCCUCCAUGCCUUAAUUAGAGCAAAAGAUCCCUGUAGGUCAGUCACAUGAAGAAAUGUGUUGGAGUGUGUGUGUGUGUGUGUGUGUGUGUGCUACAGAGAGAAAGAGGGAAGUAGGUGGCUGUGGAAGUGAAGGACACAAGAGUGCGAUACAUGUCCUUGGACAUCCUGAGUACCCCGAGGGAACACAUCCGAACUCAUGUUGCGCAGGGCUGACAGCUGAGGCGUGGCCCUGUCCCGUCACCUCUGCCUUCCUGACACACCAUUAGAGAAUUUCUAUUUAUAGAAGCACUGCUGACAUGUGGCGUGUGUCAAGGAGACCUGAACUGUUUCAUCUGAACACACCCAGAAUGUGUGUUUUGUGUGUGUUAGGAAAGCCAGAAGAGGAUGCUGCACGCCAGCAUUUCCAUCUCGUGCUUUCCGAGCAGCAGAGCGUUUACCGUCUGUGGUCAUAUGGUAUCAGUACAGCAACUGCUGUUACUGUUUCUAAUGAGGCCCCCAUUCUCUUCAUGGCAUUAAUAGGAUGCUAUAUUUAUUGGCGAACAGAGAUACCGAGGGAGGAAGGGAAAGGAAAUAAGUGAAACUAAAUAAAGGGAAGUUUUGUGCUCCUAUGACUUUCAUUUCCUCUCCUUAUUUCUCCCUGUCUCCAUCUUCUCUAAACUACUCAUUACACUAACAAUGUUUGUCUCUGGAAAGUCGGACAGAAGAGGAGCUCUGUGCUGCUGUGGAGCACUCGAACAAGCCUAAUGAUCGACAUAGACACAAACAGAGACGGAUUACAUUUAGAUACAUUAUAUUUUCAAUGAAAGAAACUUCACCAAUUUUAGAAUAAAACUAUACUUUACUUUAAAACAGAUAAAUGGAGGACUUAUUAGUAUCUGUGAAAGGACCCAGAUAGAGUUAAUAUAAUAUUCUUGUCUUACAUUUCUACUGUAUUUUUGGCGUGUUAGUGUUCUGGAUCAGACUUCUUGUAAAUCAGUUGCGCGCUACAUCUUAAAGAAGUGAACCAUUAUGAUAUCAAAAUCUGACAGAAGAGACACACACACACAUGUUAAGAGAGCGAGAGAGAGAGACAUAGAGAAAAGAGAGAGA